AUUGAACGCUGGCGGCAUGCUUUACACAUGCAAGUCGAACGGUAACAGGCCUUCGGGUGCUGACGAGUGGCGAACGGGUGAGUAUGCAUCGGAACGUACCCAGAGGUGGGGGAUAACGCAGCGAAAGCUGUGCUAAUACCGCAUGUGAUCUGAGGAUGAAAGCGGGGGACCGAGCAGCAAUGUUUGGCCUCGCGCCUUUUGAGCGGCCGAUGUCGGAUUAGCUAGUUGGUGGGGUAAGGGCCUACCAAGGCGACGAUCCGUAGCUGGUCUGAGAGGACGACCAGCCACACUGGGACUGAGACACGGCCCAGACUCCUACGGGAGGCAGCAGUGGGGAAUUUUGGACAAUGGGCGCAAGCCUGAUCCAGCAAUGCCGCGUGCGGGAAGAAGGCCUUCGGGUUGUAAACCGCUUUUGGCAGGAACGAAACGGUGUCCGCUAAUACCGGGCGCUAAUGACGGUACCUGCAGAAUAAGCACCGGCUAACUACGUG
Molecule: ribosomal RNA, 491 nt
Filed under: uncultured bacterium
Lineage: Bacteria
Description: partial 16S ribosomal RNA
Rfam family: Bacterial small subunit ribosomal RNA
Source: RNAcentral